UAUCGGGUCCCGCGCGACGCGUUCCCGCCAACCCCGCCAGGUCCGGAAGGAAGCAACGGUAACGGGCUCUCGCGUGUGCAGCGGGUUCCCCGGUGCCU
Molecule: signal recognition particle RNA, 98 nt
Filed under: Candidatus Korobacter versatilis
Lineage: Bacteria; Pseudomonadati; Acidobacteriota; Terriglobia; Terriglobales; Candidatus Korobacteraceae
Description: signal recognition particle sRNA small type
Rfam family: Bacterial small signal recognition particle RNA
About the family: The signal recognition particle (SRP) is a universally conserved ribonucleoprotein involved in the co-translational targeting of proteins to membranes. Archaeal SRP consists of a 7S RNA and homologues of the eukaryotic SRP19 and SRP54 proteins.
Source: RNAcentral